RNAcentral lists this signal recognition particle RNA (315 nucleotides) under Candidatus Bathyarchaeota archaeon. RNAcentral's name for it is "signal recognition particle sRNA". It matches the Rfam family "Archaeal signal recognition particle RNA". Lineage: Archaea; Thermoproteati; Candidatus Bathyarchaeota. The record is from RNAcentral.
CGGUGGGUCUCAGGCGGGGGGAUAGGGGUCCCCUGAACCGUAAACCCCCUAUAUGACGGGCUAACAGCUGGGGCUGAGGCGUCAAAGGCCGUUAAGACCCUUAUUUCCGAAACAGUGAAUAUCCGUCCCUUGGAGCUGGCGGUCGCUGAGCAGCUUCCGUAGGGAAGCUGUCUUCAGCGUUUACCAGGCGAACCUGGCUAGGCUCGGGAGAGAGCAACCUAAGCUUGGACGUUUAGCGCUCAAGGGGUUGCGGAUACGAGCGUAGGGGUCAGGGGUCUUCGCGGAGUCUGGGCGUCGAACCCCAGUGACCCACCG